This is a long non-coding RNA of Rhincodon typus (whale shark), 853 nucleotides long. RefSeq lists it as uncharacterized. Lineage: Eukaryota; Metazoa; Chordata; Chondrichthyes; Orectolobiformes; Rhincodontidae. The record is from RefSeq and is a predicted model, not a curated record. The transcript is spliced from 2 exons.
UUUUCUGCAGUCAUAUACAGAAGAGUUGGUAGAUCUGCAUCGCAGGUUAAUGGCAUUAAGAGAACGCAAUGUGUUACAACAGAUUGUAAAUCUGAUUGAAGAAACAGGACAUUUCAAUGUUACAAACACAACUUUUGACUUUGACCUUUUCUCACUGGAUGAAACCACCGUCCGUAAGCUACAGAGUUACUUAGAAGCUACAGCCACAUGACAAGACUUGGGCUUUCAAUGCAGACUGUAGUAUUUUUAAAUAAGAACUAAGACAUUGGACUUCAAUCCCUGUAUGAUGGAAGGUGCAGCCUAGGAGAUGAGCGACAAUGUUACUGGAUAUUGAAAACUUUGUUUCAAAACUGAGGCUCAAUUUAAAACCAGCGCUGCAUGGGAUUAAGAAAGUCAUUGUGAAAGCGUAAAUUUUAUCACCAUUUAUCAAUUCCUGAAAGGAUAGCUAUUCUACUAGGUCAGGAGCAGAAAGAAAGGAAGAAUAGUGAGUGACUUUCUCCUCCAAGAGGUGUUCACCUCUACAUGCUACCAGAGGAACAAGAAAGAAAUGUUUUUAAAGAAACAUUUGAUGGGACUUUUGUUUUAGUUUUUAGUGAACGUUAAAUUUUACCUGAAGACAAUAGAAUUAAUGUAUAUAUUCUGCAAGAACAAAUGAGCUACAUCCCUGAUGUGAACCGAAGAAUUCUGUGGUUUCUAAUAAAAUGCCAAAUGAUACAGUUUUGCUGUGGAAAUAAAAUUCUGUAAAGUGCUAGACACAUUACUGAACUUGGUUUCACUAAUGUGGUCUCCGAAUCCAGUACAGAUCUAUUGCAUUGUAUAUUAUCUAAAGAAUAUAUAUUUUUGAACCCAUUGA